RNAcentral lists this ribosomal RNA (495 nucleotides) under uncultured bacterium. Its description in RNAcentral is "partial 16S ribosomal RNA". It matches the Rfam family "Bacterial small subunit ribosomal RNA", at positions 28 to 507 of the family's 1533-position model. The record is from RNAcentral.
GACGAACGCUGGCGGCGUGCCUAAUACAUGCAAGUAGAACGCUGAAGGAGGAGCUUGCUUCUCUGGAUGAGUUGCGAACGGGUGAGUAACGCGUAGGUAACCUGCCUUGUAGCGGGGGAUAACUAUUGGAAACGAUAGCUAAUACCGCAUAAUAGUAGAUGUUGCAUGACAUUUGCUUAAAAGGUGCAAUUGCAUCACUACCAGAUGGACCUGCGUUGUAUUAGCUAGUUGGUGGGGUAACGGCUCACCAAGGCGACGAUACAUAGCCGACCUGAGAGGGUGAUCGGCCACACUGGGACUGGGAAACGGCCCAGACUCCUACGGGAGGCAGCAGUAGGGAAUCUUCGGCAAUGGACGGAAGUCUGACCGAGCAACGCCGCGUGAGUGAAGAAGGUUUUCGGAUCGUAAAGCUCUGUUGUAAGAGAAGAACGAGUGUGAGAGUGGAAAGUUCACACUGUGACGGUAUCUUACCAGAAAGGGACGGCUAACUACGUG